GAUGAACGCUGGCGGCGUGCUUAACACAUGCAAGUCGAACGGAAAGGCUCCUGCUUGCAGGGGUACUCGAGUGGCGAACGGGUGAGUAACACGUGGGUGAUCUGCCCUGCACUUCGGGAUAAGCCUGGGAAACUGGGUCUAAUACCGGAUAGGACCACAUUUUGGAUGGUGUGGUGGAAAGUUUUUCGGUGUGGGAUGAGCUCGCGGCCUAUCAGCUUGUUGGUGGGGUAAUGGCCUACCAAGGCGUCGACGGGUAGCCGGCCUGAGAGGGUGUACGGCCACAUUGGGACUGAGAUACGGCCCAGACUCCUACGGGAGGCAGCAGUGGGGAAUAUUGCACAAUGGGCGCAAGCCUGAUGCAGCGACGCCGCGUGGGGGAUGACGGCCUUCGGGUUGUAAACUCCUUUCGCUAGGGACGAAGCGCAAGUGACGGUACCUGGAGAAGAAGCACCGGCUAACUAUGUG
Molecule: ribosomal RNA, 465 nt
Filed under: uncultured bacterium
Lineage: Bacteria
Description: partial 16S ribosomal RNA
Rfam family: Bacterial small subunit ribosomal RNA
Source: RNAcentral